This 1694-nucleotide long non-coding RNA is filed under the name Sorghum bicolor (sorghum). Its description in RNAcentral is "long non-coding RNA (SBIC_LNC002300)". Lineage: Eukaryota; Viridiplantae; Streptophyta; Magnoliopsida; Poales; Poaceae. The record is from RNAcentral.
CGUGGAACUUUUGCGUCUCAAGCAAGGUCCUAUGAACUUGUUUGGACGGACUAGGACUAGUUGGUAACCCAAUCUUGGAUCCUGGGCUAACAUAGAAAGAGAGAGAAGAGAGAAUAUGAUAGCUAAUAUAGAAAGAUAGAGGUGACAGAAUAGGACGGUGAUAGGUAGCACUUUUAGCUCGUGUUAGCUGGAUUUGAACAAGUGAAAUAACAACUAGUUGGGGUUUUAGCUAAAUUUUAGCCCAUCCAUUAGUCCUCUUGUUGGAUCCUUAAAAGCUAAACUUUAGCAAAUAGUUGUUAGUCCAUGAAAUUCAAACAGACCUAUGCAUGCAUGGACACUUUGGCAAAAGUAAAAGACAAGCAUCAAUCGGAUCUAUACUUUAAGGAUGCCUCAAAAUCUCCUCCCCGCCCCAAUGCCCUCGAGUGAAACACCCCACUGAGUCAUUGGUUUGUUCGUUACAUCUAUGCACCCGUUCAUCUCCCUAUCACAUCCGUCUUCCAGCAACCACCUAAAUUCGUUGGUGCAUGUCACCUUUCCUGUAUUUUCUAGCCUUUUCUGUCAUCACCUAUAACAUUCCACAUUUCCACUAGGAACCAAAUUAAAUUUUUAUUUUUAUUUUUUUAACAACAUGAUUAGUGAUGUGUGCAUCUAAUAACUUUAGGCACCUACUCCCAUGCUUAUAAAAUAUUUGGGUUGUUGUUCAUAGAUUCUCACUCGCUUGACUCUCGCCUAGUAAUACUUUUUCCUAAAUAAAAAAAAUAAAAGUCCAUCUUUAUUUAUGUUUAUGCGUGUAUGUUUGUGGGAAAAUAAGAGGAAAGAAACAUAGAAAAGGAAAAAAAAAAAAGGAAAGAUGACUCACGGGUCACGGGCUCUAACCAGGCCUUCCCCUCUCUCUCUCUCUCCCUCCCUUCCUCCCUCAUCACUCACCAUGGCCCAAGCACACGAGCGAGCCCACUAACCAGGUCCUGGUUGAUUUUUUUUUUUGCAAAAAAGGUUCUGAUUGAUUAUAAUUGAGAAAAAAUCUUUUCCUCCCACAACUUUCAUGAAAAUCCACUUUUGCUCCCUCAAUCUAAAAUCGGGCGAAUCACCUCCCUUAACUUUUUAAACCGUGCAUUCUACCUCCCUGGAGCAAUUUCGAAGGUGGUUUUGCUACAGUGAAUAGUGGUUUUGCUACAAUAAUAGUGGUUUUGUCUUUUUCUUUUUAAAUUAUUUCGGCUGAAUAUUUGAAAAAUCAAAGUAAAUCACAGAAAAAUCAUAAAAUAGAAAAUCUAAUUUUUUAAACUCCACACAAGUAGAUCUACAUAGUAAACAUAUAAUAUGAUAUGCUUUAGUACAAAGUUUUUGCUAUAAAGGUUUUGUCCUUUUCUUUUAUAAUUUAUUUGGCUGAAUCUUUGAAAAAUCAUAGUAAAACAUAGAAAAAACAUAAAAUAGAAAAUAUAUUUUUCCUAGACUCCGCAUGAGUAUAUAUACAUAAUGAACAUAUAAUAUAUGUAUGUUUUAGUCCGACAAAAUAAUUAUAGAAGCUACAGCUAUGAGUUAUUUCAAUUAAUUACAUAAAAGCAUAGAUCUAAAGCUACAACAAAAGAAUUAUACUAAAGCAUACCAUAUUAUAUAUUUACUAUGUAGAUAUGCUCAUGUGGAGUCUAACAAAAUUAUACUUUAUAUUUUAUGACUUUUCUGUAAUUUACUAUGAU